ACGAACGCUGGCGGCACGCUUAACACAUGCAAGUCGAACGGAGUUAGAGAGCUUGCUUUUAAACUUAGUGGCGGACGGGUGAGUAACACGUGAGCAACCUGACCUUCAAGCGAGGAAUAAUGAGUGGAAACGCUCUGUAAUACCUCAUAACGAUUUUUUACCGCAUGAUAGGAAUACCAAAGAUUUAUCACUUGAAGAUGGGCUCGCGUCCGAUUAGCUAGUUGGUGAGGUAACGGCUCACCAAGGCGACGAUCGGUAGCCGUACUGAGAGGUAGAUCGGCCACAUUGGGACUGAGACACGGCCCAGACUCCUACGGGAGGCAGCAGUGGGGAAUAUUGCACAAUGGAGGAAACUCUGAUGCAGCCGAUGCCGCGUGAGCGAAGAAGGCCUUUUGGUUGUAAAGCUCUGUUAUCAGGGACGAAAAUGACGGUACCUGAGGAGGAAGCUCCGGCUAACUACGUGCCAGCAGCAGC
RNAcentral lists this ribosomal RNA (474 nucleotides) under uncultured bacterium. RNAcentral describes it as "bacterial SSU rRNA". It matches the Rfam family "Bacterial small subunit ribosomal RNA", at positions 29 to 518 of the family's 1533-position model. The record is from RNAcentral.